GGAUCGAUGGUGUAGUUGGUUAUCACGUCCGUCUCACAUUAGCGAAUACUACGUGACCACGGGAGGACCCCAGAUCGAGCCUGGGUCGGUUCA
Molecule: non-coding RNA, 93 nt
Organism: Marasmius fiardii PR-910
Lineage: Eukaryota; Fungi; Basidiomycota; Agaricomycetes; Agaricales; Marasmiaceae
Source: the annotation of a GenBank genome assembly